This 102-nucleotide ribosomal RNA is filed under the name Salmonella enterica. Its description in RNAcentral is "partial 23S ribosomal RNA". It matches the Rfam family "Bacterial large subunit ribosomal RNA", at positions 1 to 93 of the family's 2925-position model. RNAcentral also lists the same sequence under 1 other name. Lineage: Bacteria; Pseudomonadati; Pseudomonadota; Gammaproteobacteria; Enterobacterales; Enterobacteriaceae. The record is from RNAcentral.
GGGUUGUGAGGUUAAGCGACUAAGCGUACACGGUGGAUGCCCUGGCAGUCAGAGGCGAUGAAGGGCGUGCUAAUCUGCGAUAAGCGCCGGUAAGGUGAUAUG